RNAcentral lists this ribosomal RNA (497 nucleotides) under uncultured bacterium. RNAcentral describes it as "partial 16S ribosomal RNA". It matches the Rfam family "Bacterial small subunit ribosomal RNA", at positions 28 to 507 of the family's 1533-position model. The record is from RNAcentral.
GAUGAACGCUGGCGGCGUGCCUAAUACAUGCCAGUCGAGCGAACAGAUGAGGAGCUUGCUCCUCUGACGUUAGCGGCGGACGGGUGAGUAACACGUGGAUAACCUACCUAUAAGAAUGGGAUAACUUCGGGAAACCGGAGCUAAUACCGGAUAAUAUAUUGAACCGCAUGGUUCAAUAGUGAAAGACGGUUUUGCUGUCACUUAUAGAUGGAUCCGCGCCGCAUUAGCUAGUUGGUAAGGUAACGGCUUACCAAGGCAACGAUGCGUAGCCGACCUGAGAGGGUGAUCGGCCACACUGGAACUGAGACACGGUCCAGACUCCUACGGGAGGCAGCAGUAGGGAAUCUUCCGCAAUGGGCGAAAGCCUGACGGAGCAACGCCGCGUGAGUGAUGAAGGUCUUCGGAUCGUAAAGCUCUGUUAUUAGGGAAGAACAAAUGUGUAAGUAACUAUGCACGUCUUGACGGUACCUAAUCAGAAAGCCACGGCUAACUACGUG